Cinara cedri is the source of this 431-nucleotide non-coding RNA. Lineage: Eukaryota; Metazoa; Arthropoda; Insecta; Hemiptera; Aphididae. The record is from the annotation of a GenBank genome assembly.
AAAUAUUGUCUUCUUUGAAGUACGUUUGACGUAGCUGAAUGGUUAUACAUACCUAUUAUCAACCUAGGGUAGACGAGUUCAAAUCCGUGAAUGCAAAAUAUUUUAUUUUCCUCUUUUACCUAAACAAGGAAAAAACAAAUGCAUUUUGGGUAUAUCUAGAAACCCAAGCCAUCGCUCGCUCGGAUUAUAUUAAUCAAAAAAUACCCUUCGAUUAAUUGUUCAAACUUUUCUACUAAAAAUAUUGCUCCUAUGUAUUAAGUGUAGCUUAAUUUGUCAAAGGUAAUUUUAUCUCUAUGGUAAGUUAGGGAGGUCAUUUGUUAAUUUCUCAGGAGUUUUCCCAUUAAAUGGGAAAACUUUUUCUGAAAAAAAAUCUGACUGAAGGGGUACUUUUUUGAUUUUCUCAAUAGUUUUCCCAGUAAAUGUAAAAAUCG